AUGACGAACGAGCAGCAGCUCGCCGUCGCGGAGCAGAUCCACAAGGCUGUCAUUAUGUACAAUUAUUACCACCGGAAGAUAUCUCCGCAGCUUUCUUUCGCCGAUCCCAAACUGUUCCUUAUGUCACUUCCUGUUGAAGAAGAUUUGCUCACGCACUUGAGUAUGCUCCUUAAGCGUGAGAGCAAGCCUGGGAACAAUCAGAGGUUAUAUACUUGUGACACAGCAGCAUUACAGGCCUGUGAGAUCGCUAAAGGACUCGACGCGAGCAAAGAUUCUCCAGACAUGACAGCGUGGCCAAUCUCGAAAGUUGCUGUGCUUCUUAUCGACCCGGAAAGAAAAAAAUGUCUGAUUGAACAUACCCAGGGUGUCUGGUCAUUCAUAGAGUUUGAUGAAGCAUGCAGUAGCGACAUGAUAGCAGUUUGGAAAUCGGCAAAUAAACGAACCUAUGCUGCGGUGGACGGAGCAAAUACGCCUCGGGAACUAGCAUUGUCAGAAGUGGAGCGUAGAACAGGUAUGAAGGCCUCAAACUUGCGUGUUCUCGAAACUUUUUGGGCAUACUCACUGAGUAAAGAAAGGACAGCUACCAAGUUGUUCCUUGUGGAGUAUGAGCAAGCAAUGAAAGGCAACCUUGUGGAAAUUUCUCUAGAGGACUUGAUUACCAGUAUGACUGGUCCGGUCUUUGCAAAUCAUCAAUUCCUGAAAAUAACUUCUCUUGUUGAGUACUAUCACAUUCUUCCAUAUAAAGAUAUUUUGUCUGAACUCCUGCACAGGAAAUGGCCAGAAACACUAGUUGUCCCUACAAUGAUGAACAGUGCUUUGCCAUGGCAGAAUAUGGAAGUGUUGGAAAAGUCAGGCGCUUUCUCCGAAAACGUGAGUGAUCUGGUGGAUGAAUCACUGCGGCUAAUUCAGAAAAUACGGGAUGAUAUUGUUUUCAAGGAACGCAUACUUCAAGGCCAAAGUGCUGAAUGUGAUAUGGACAUUCAGAGAAUCUGGAAUGAAGGGCUGAUGACAGCAAAAGUGUUGUCAGACAAGUAUAAGAAUGGUUUCCCAAAGAUGGAAGUUGCGGCUUCAUCUUGCUCUGGAGAUGGCGGUCGCCUAAACAAGAAGACACUGAGGGCGAGCCUUGAAUUCAGGAAAUACGUGGAGCUUGAUGAGAUCUGCCGUGAUUGCUACUGUAUAUCUCCAAGAUACACAGUAUUACCUUCAAUAACAGAUGGGACGUACACCGCCAGUGUACGUCUUAGAUGCCCUGAUGCUAAGAUGACCAUCUAUGGAGGUCCUCGCAAGACCCCACUCGAGGCGAGGUGCUCUGCAGCUGCCAAUAUGAUACAGGAGCUUUGCAAGGCGUAG
RNAcentral lists this ribosomal RNA (1350 nucleotides) under Triticum aestivum (bread wheat). RNAcentral describes it as "partial small subunit ribosomal RNA". Lineage: Eukaryota; Viridiplantae; Streptophyta; Magnoliopsida; Poales; Poaceae. The record is from RNAcentral.